This 400-nucleotide ribosomal RNA is filed under the name Mogibacterium timidum. Its description in RNAcentral is "bacterial SSU rRNA". It matches the Rfam family "Bacterial small subunit ribosomal RNA", at positions 28 to 407 of the family's 1533-position model. The record is from RNAcentral. Lineage: Bacteria; Bacillati; Bacillota; Clostridia; Peptostreptococcales; Anaerovoracaceae.
GAUGAACGCUGGCGGCGUGCCUAAUACAUGCAAGUCGAGCGAGAAGCUUGGAAAUGACGCUUCGGUUGAUUUUCCAAGCGGACAGCGGCGGACGGGUGAGUAACGCGUAGGCAACCUGCCCCUGACAGAGGGAUAGCCAUUGGAAACGAUGAUUAAAACCUCAUGACACCGUAGUAGCACAUGCUACAUCGGUCAAAGAUUUAUCGGUCAGGGAUGGGCCUGCGUCUGAUUAACUGGUUGGUGAGGUAACGGCUCACCAAGGUGACGAUCAGUAGCCGACCUGAGAGGGUGAUCGGCCACAUUGGAACUGAGACACGGUCCAAACUUCUACGGAAGGCAGCAGCAGGGAAUCUUGCACAAUGGGCGAAAAGCCCUGAAGCAGCAAACGCCGCCGUGAAGG